ACACUCCUGCGGGAGGCAGCAGUGGGGAAUUUUGGACAAUGGGGGCAACCCUGAUCCAGCAAUGCCGCGUGAGUGAAGAAGGCCUUCGGGUUGUAAAGCUCUUUUGUCAGGGAAGAAACGGUGGUGGCGAAUAACUACUACUAAUGACGGUACCUGAAGAAUAAGCACCGGCUAACUACGUGCCAGCAGCCGCGGUAAUACGUAGGGUGCAAGCGUUAAUCGGAAUUACUGGGCGUAAAGCGUGCGCAGGCGGUUGUGUAAGUCAGAUGUGAAAUCCCCGGGCUCAACCUGGGAAUUGCAUUUGAGACUGCACGGCUAGAGUGUGUCAGAGGGGGGUAGAAUUCCACGUGUAGCAGUGAAAUGCGUAGAUAUGUGGAGGAAUACCGAUGGCGAAGGCAGCCCCCUGGGAUAACACUGACGCUCAUGCACGAAAGCGUGGGGAGCAAACAGGAUUAGAAAUCCUAGUAGUCCCAU
This 474-nucleotide ribosomal RNA is filed under the name uncultured organism. RNAcentral describes it as "partial 16S ribosomal RNA". It matches the Rfam family "Bacterial small subunit ribosomal RNA", at positions 333 to 798 of the family's 1533-position model. The record is from RNAcentral.